This 164-nucleotide ribosomal RNA is filed under the name Brachypodium boissieri. Its description in RNAcentral is "5.8S ribosomal RNA". It matches the Rfam family "5.8S ribosomal RNA". Rfam says of the family: 5.8S ribosomal RNA (5.8S rRNA) is a component of the large subunit of the eukaryotic ribosome. It is transcribed by RNA polymerase I as part of the 45S precursor that also contains 18S and 28S rRNA. Lineage: Eukaryota; Viridiplantae; Streptophyta; Magnoliopsida; Poales; Poaceae. The record is from RNAcentral.
CACGACUCUCGGCAACGGAUAUCUCGGCUCUCGCAUCGAUGAAGAACGUAGCGAAAUGCGAUACCUGGUGUGAAUUGCAGAAUCCCGCGAACCAUCGAGUCUUUGAACGCAAGUUGCGCCCGAGGCCACCCGGCCGAGGGCACGCCUGCCUGGGCGUCACGCCA